This is a long non-coding RNA of Haliotis rubra (blacklip abalone), 153 nucleotides long. RefSeq lists it as uncharacterized. The transcript has 4 exons. The record is from RefSeq and is a predicted model, not a curated record. NCBI's taxonomy places the organism in Eukaryota, Metazoa, Mollusca, Gastropoda, Lepetellida, Haliotidae.
UAAACGUGAGGAAUAUUACAAACAUCGAGAGGAAGAUACGUAAACUGAUGUCAGACGUUGAACACAAGAAAGACGAAAUAGCAGAGUUGGAGAGAAACAUUAUACCUGGACUAAAGAAACAGAUUGAAGAAACUCAAAUACGGCUGAAAAUAC